Molecule: ribosomal RNA, 465 nt
Filed under: Vreelandella stevensii
Lineage: Bacteria; Pseudomonadati; Pseudomonadota; Gammaproteobacteria; Oceanospirillales; Halomonadaceae
Description: partial 16S ribosomal RNA
Rfam family: Bacterial small subunit ribosomal RNA
Source: RNAcentral
CCUACGGGUGGCAGCAGUGGGGAAUAUUGGACAAUGGGCGAAAGCCUGAUCCAGCCAUGCCGCGUGUGUGAAGAAGGCCUUCGGGUUGUAAAGCACUUUCAGUGGGGAAGAAAGCCUUGGGGCUAAUACCCUCGAGGAAGGACAUCACCCACAGAAGAAGCACCGGCUAACUCCGUGCCAGCAGCCGCGGUAAUACGGAGGGUGCGAGCGUUAAUCGGAAUUACUGGGCGUAAAGCGCGCGUAGGCGGUCUGAUAAGCCGGUUGUGAAAGCCCCGGGCUCAACCUGGGAACGGCAUCCGGAAGGGUGAAGCGAGAGUGCAGGAGAGGAGGGUGGAAGUCCAGGCGGAGCGGUGAAAUGCGGAGAGAGAGGGAGGAAAACCGGUGGCGAAAGAGGGUUUAUGGAGUGAAACUGGCGCUGAGGUGCGAAAGCGGGGGGAGCAAACAGGAUUAGAUACCCGGGGAGUG